AGCUGAGCGGUGUAAGGUAGGGUAUAUUAGCCUUUUAUUGGAGGCCAGUGAAUGGCAAGACUGGGAACACCUUUACUUUACGUAUAAAAAAAACUUUUCGUCUAAGUGAAAAGACUUAGAUGGCAAAGGAAGACGAAAAGACCCCGCGGAGCUUUACCUUUUCUUGUUCUUCCGUCCAUGCACUUAAAGAUAUUAAGGUUUGAUUGGGGCAAUCUUGGAACCAACAACAAAGCUUCCGAAUUUUAUAAAAUAUUCAUUCAAAACUUAAUAAGGACCAAAAAGAAGCUACCCCGGGGAUAACAGCGUAAUCCAAUCAAGAAGUACAUAUCGAAAGUUGGGUUUGCGACCUCGAUGUUGGCUUAAGGAUAUCCACAUUGGUGCAACCGCCAUGACAGGAUAGUCUGUUCGACUAUUAUACCCUUACACGAGCUGAGUUAAGACCGGCGCAAGCUAGGUUGGUUUCUAUCUCCUUUAUACAAAAUCUUUUCUUGAUGUACGAAGACC
RNAcentral lists this ribosomal RNA (504 nucleotides) under Anemina arcaeformis. Its description in RNAcentral is "partial 16S ribosomal RNA". The stretch from base 100 to 504 matches the Rfam family "Bacterial large subunit ribosomal RNA", at positions 2047 to 2693 of the family's 2925-position model. The record is from RNAcentral. Lineage: Eukaryota; Metazoa; Mollusca; Bivalvia; Unionida; Unionidae.